This 950-nucleotide non-coding RNA is filed under the name Thylacinus cynocephalus (Tasmanian wolf). RNAcentral's name for it is "12S ribosomal RNA". It matches the Rfam family "Bacterial small subunit ribosomal RNA". Lineage: Eukaryota; Metazoa; Chordata; Mammalia; Dasyuromorphia; Thylacinidae. The record is from RNAcentral.
CAAAGGUUUGGUCCUGGCCUUACUGUUAAUUCUUAUUAGACCUACACAUGCAAGUUUCCGCGCCCCAGUGAGAAUGCCCUCAAAACUAAUAAAGAGUUUUUUGGAGUGGGUAUCAGGCACACUCAAGAGUAGCCCAUGACACCUUGCCUAGCCACGCCCCCACGGGAUACAGCAGUGACUAAUAUUGAGCUAUGAACGAAAGUUCGACUAAAUUAUAAUAAAUCUAGGGCCGGUAAAUUUCGUGCCAGCCACCGCAGCCAUACGAUUGACCCAAACUAACAGAUUGUCGGCGUAAAGCGUGUCAAUCCAACAACCAAAAAUAAGGCAAAAACUCAAUCAUGCUGUAAUACGCUAUAGCUGACAUAAAAAUACGCAACUAAAGUGGCCUUAACUAUUGCUGAAGACACUAAAGCUAAGGUACAAACUGGGAUUAGAGACCCCACUAUGCUUAGCCAUAAACUUAGGUAGCUUAAUAACAAGACUACUCGCCAGAGACUACGAGCCACUGCUUAAAACUCAAAGGACUUGGCGGUGCCCUAAACCCUUCUAGAGGAGCCUGUUCUAUAAUCGAUAAACCCCGAUACACCUCACCCCUUCUAGCCAAUCAGUCUAUAUACCGCCAUCGUCAGCUCACCCCAACAGGGACAAAAGUGAGCAAGAUUAUGAAACCAUAAAAACGUUAGGUCAAGGUGUAGCGUAUGGACGGGGGAAGCGAUGGGCUACAUUUUCUAAAUUAGAACAUAACGAAUUAUCUAUUGAAACAAAGAUGUGAAGGAGGAUUUAGUAGUAAAUUAAGAAUAGAGAGCUUAAUUGAAACAGGCAAUAGGGUGCGCACACACCGCCCGUCACCCUCCUCGACAAAGUAACUUCCCAUACCUAAUACGAAUACGUAAAAAAGAGGAGAAAAGUCGUAACAUGGUAAGUGUACUGGAAGGUGCACUUGGAAUAUC